UGCAUACCCCUUAGAUCCACUUUCUCAUUGAAAGUGCUUGAGUCAUAGGUAUGCAAAAGCAUUAUACCUCCGUGAUCAGUAAUCUGCUUGUGUACUUUUUCACUAGCAUCACUGAUCCUGGGGACGAU
This is a small nucleolar RNA of Nilaparvata lugens (brown planthopper), 128 nucleotides long. RefSeq annotates it as small nucleolar RNA SNORA53. Lineage: Eukaryota; Metazoa; Arthropoda; Insecta; Hemiptera; Delphacidae. The transcript has a single exon. The record is from RefSeq and is a predicted model, not a curated record.